Molecule: ribosomal RNA, 1614 nt
Filed under: Salmonella enterica subsp. enterica serovar Brandenburg
Lineage: Bacteria; Pseudomonadati; Pseudomonadota; Gammaproteobacteria; Enterobacterales; Enterobacteriaceae
Description: partial 23S ribosomal RNA
Rfam family: Bacterial large subunit ribosomal RNA
Source: RNAcentral
GGGUGACUGCGUACCUUUUGUAUAAUGGGUCAGCGACUUAUAUUCUGUAGCAAGGUUAACCGAAUAGGGGAGCCGGAGGGAAACCGAGUCUUAAUUGGGCGUUAAGUUGCAGGGUAUAGACCCGAAACCCGGUGAUCUAGCCAUGGGCAGGUUGAAGGUUGGGUAACACUAACUGGAGGACCGAACCGACUAAUGUUGAAAAAUUAGCGGAUGACCUGUGGCUGGGGGUGAAAGGCCAAUCAAACCGGGAGAUAGCUGGUUCUCCCCGAAAGCUAUUUAGGUAGCGCCUCGUGAAUUCAUCUCCGGGGGUAGAGCACUGUUUCGGCUAGGGGGCCAUCCCGGCUUACCAACCCGAUGCAAACUGCGAAUACCGGAGAAUGUUAUCACGGGAGACACACGGCGGGUGCUAACGUCCGUCGUGAAGAGGGAAACAACCCAGACCGCCAGCUAAGGUCCCAAAGUCAUGGUUAAGUGGGAAACGAUGUGGGAAGGCCCAGACAGCCAGGAUGUUGGCUUAGAAGCAGCCAUCAUUUAAAGAAAGCGUAAUAGCUCACUGGUCGAGUCGGCCUGCGCGGAAGAUGUAACGGGGCUAAACCAUGCACCGAAGCUGCGGCAGCGACGCUGAUGCGUUGUUGGGUAGGGGAGCGUUCUGUAAGCCUGCGAAGGUGGCCUGUGAGGGUUGCUGGAGGUAUCAGAAGUGCGAAUGCUGACAUAAGUAACGAUAAAGCGGGUGAAAAGCCCGCUCGCCGGAAGACCAAGGGUUCCUGUCCAACGUUAAUCGGGGCAGGGUGAGUCGACCCCUAAGGCGAGGCCGAAAGGCGUAGUCGAUGGGAAACGGGUUAAUAUUCCCGUACUUGGUGUUACUGCGAAGGGGGGACGGAGAAGGCUAUGUUGGCCGGGCGACGGUUGUCCCGGUUUAAGCGUGUAGGUGUGUGUUCCAGGUAAAUCCGGUUCACUUUAACACUGAGGCGUGAUGACGAGGCACUACGGUGCUGAAGCAACAAAUGCCCUGCUUCCAGGAAAAGCCUCUAAGCAUCAGGUAACAUCAAAUCGUACCCCAAACCGACACAGGUGGUCAGGUAGAGAAUACCAAGGCGCUUGAGAGAACUCGGGUGAAGGAACUAGGCAAAAUGGUGCCGUAACUUCGGGAGAAGGCACGCUGACACGUAGGUGAAGUGAUUUACUCAUGGAGCUGAAGUCAGUCGAAGAUACCAGCUGGCUGCAACUGUUUAUUAAAAACACAGCACUGUGCAAACACGAAAGUGGACGUAUACGGUGUGACGCCUGCCCGGUGCCGGAAGGUUAAUUGAUGGGGUCAGCGCAAGCGAAGCUCCUGAUCGAAGCCCCGGUAAACGGCGGCCGUAACUAUAACGGUCCUAAGGUAGCGAAAUUCCUUGUCGGGUAAGUUCCGACCUGCACGAAUGGCGUAAUGAUGGCCAGGCUGUCUCCACCCGAGACUCAGUGAAAUUGAACUCGCUGUGAAGAUGCAGUGUACCCGCGGCAAGACGGAAAGACCCCGUGAACCUUUACUAUAGCUUGACACUGAACAUUGAGCCUUGAUGUGUAGGAUAGGUGGGAGGCUUUGAAGUGUGGACGCCAGUCUGCAUGGAGCCG